Molecule: ribosomal RNA, 404 nt
Filed under: uncultured bacterium
Lineage: Bacteria
Description: bacterial SSU rRNA
Rfam family: Bacterial small subunit ribosomal RNA
Source: RNAcentral
UCAGCCAGGCCGCGGUAAUACGGGGGGUGCAAGCGUUAUUCGGAAUUAUUGGGCGUAAAGGGCGCGUAGGCGGUCUUGUCGGUCAGAUGUGAAAGCCCAGGGCUCAACCCUGGACGUGCAUUUGAAACAGCAAGACUUGAGUACGGGAGAGGAAAGCGGAAUUCCUGGUGUAGAGGUGAAAUUCGUAGAUAUCAGGAGGAACACCGAUGGCGAAGGCAGCUUUCUGGACCGAUACUGACGCUGAGGCGCGAAGGUGUGGGUAGCGAACGGGAUUAGAUACCCCGGUAGUCCACACAGUAAACGAUGUUCACUAGGUGUGUCGGAUAUUAAAAUCUGAUGUGCCCAAGCUAACGCAUUAAGUGAACCGCCUGGGGAGUACGGUCGCAAGACUAAAACUCAAAGGA